GUAAUCGGUCUGGCUGUUGAUGUACGUUUCAUGCUAGAAAAUACUUGUCGUCUGUUGUGAAUCGUUUUGGCUGGUAUAUGAACGUUUAGUAUAGAGUCUGUGUUGCCGUGAAUAUAAGAAUAUCACAUAUGCUGGCUGCUCGAUUUCAAAACGUAUUAAACAUUAUGAUUUCGUGUUAUUACGCACGCUGGUCAUGAGUUGCUUCUUGUUUUGAGUCUGACUUGGCUAGUUUUGAAUUUAUCUUGCGUAGAGUGGAGUAGCGUUUAAGUGCUAACUUAAUAAAAUGUGUAUAACAUUCAGUAGUCCGCCUUCGG
This 314-nucleotide unclassified non-coding RNA is filed under the name Hevea brasiliensis (rubber tree). Lineage: Eukaryota; Viridiplantae; Streptophyta; Magnoliopsida; Malpighiales; Euphorbiaceae. The record is from RNAcentral.